This 427-nucleotide ribosomal RNA is filed under the name uncultured bacterium. Its description in RNAcentral is "partial 16S ribosomal RNA". It matches the Rfam family "Bacterial small subunit ribosomal RNA", at positions 355 to 774 of the family's 1533-position model. The record is from RNAcentral.
UGGGGAAUAUUGCACAAUGGGCGCAAGCCUGAUGCAGCCAUGCCGCGUGUAUGAAGAAGGCCUUCGGGUUGUAAAGUACUUUCAGCGGGGAGGAAGGCGAUAAGGUUAAUAACCUUGUCGAUUGACGUUACCCGCAGAAGAAGCACCGGCUAACUCCGUGCCAGCAGCCGCGGUAAUACGGAGGGUGCAAGCGUUAAUCGGAAUUACUGGGCGUAAAGCGCACGCAGGCGGUCUGUCAAGUCGGAUGUGAAAUCCCCGGGCUCAACCUGGGAACUGCAUUCGAAACUGGCAGGCUAGAGUCUUGUAGAGGGGGGUAGUAUUCCAGGUGUAGCGGUGAAAUGCGUAGAGAUCUGGAGGAAUACCGGUGGCGAAGGCGGCCCCCUGGACAAAGACUGACGCUCAGGUGCGAAAGCGUGGGGAGCAAACA